RNAcentral lists this ribosomal RNA (768 nucleotides) under Bacillus sp. FJAT-17426. Its description in RNAcentral is "bacterial SSU rRNA". It matches the Rfam family "Bacterial small subunit ribosomal RNA", at positions 71 to 824 of the family's 1533-position model. The record is from RNAcentral. Lineage: Bacteria; Bacillati; Bacillota; Bacilli; Caryophanales; Bacillaceae.
GAAGGGAGCUUGCUCCCGGAUGUUAGCGGCGGACGGGUGAGUAACACGUGGGUAACCUGCCUGUAAGACUGGGAUAACUCCGGGAAACCGGAGCUAAUACCGGAUAGUUCCUUGAACCGCAUGGUUCAAGGAUGAAAGACGGUUUCGGCUGUCACUUACAGAUGGACCCGCGGCGCAUUAGCUAGUUGGUGAGGUAACGGCUCACCAAGGCGACGAUGCGUAGCCGACCUGAGAGGGUGAUCGGCCACACUGGGACUGAGACACGGCCCAGACUCCUACGGGAGGCAGCAGUAGGGAAUCUUCCGCAAUGGACGAAAGUCUGACGGAGCAACGCCGCGUGAGUGAUGAAGGUUUUCGGAUCGUAAAGCUCUGUUGUUAGGGAAGAACAAGUGCAAGAGUAACUGCUUGCACCUUGACGGUACCUAACCAGAAAGCCACGGCUAACUACGUGCCAGCAGCCGCGGUAAUACGUAGGUGGCAAGCGUUGUCCGGAAUUAUUGGGCGUAAAGGGCUCGCAGGCGGUUUCUUAAGUCUGAUGUGAAAGCCCCCGGCUCAACCGGGGAGGGUCAUUGGAAACUGGGAAACUUGAGUGCAGAAGAGGAGAGUGGAAUUCCACGUGUAGCGGUGAAAUGCGUAGAGAUGUGGAGGAACACCAGUGGCGAAGGCGACUCUCUGGUCUGUAACUGACGCUGAGGAGCGAAAGCGUGGGGAGCGAACAGGAUUAGAUACCCUGGUAGUCCACGCCGUAAACGAUGAGUGCUAAGUGUU